GGGAGCCACUUCAGAACCCAGAAGGAGAGAGCCCUAUGGAGAGGAGCUGGGAUCUUUGGUUGAAGGAGCAGAAAUCCUGAAGUGGCCUAGCAGGGAAAGGAGCUGAGGAAAUAAAUACCUCUGUCCCCCGCUAGCUCCUGCUGGGCUUCCUAUUGGCUGAACCUAAUGGGAAGCCAGUGGGCAAGGGAGACAGACCCCACCAGAAGAGGAAAUGAAGACAUAGAGAUGUACAGAGGACACCAUUUGAAGACACAGAGAGAAGAUGGCCACCUAAAAGCCCAGGGCAGAGGCCUCAGAAGAAAUCAUCUCUUUGAUCUUGGACUCUCGGCCUCCAGAAUCAUGAGAAAAUAAAUGUCUGUUAUUUAAGUCACUCAGUAUGUGGUACUUUGUUAUGGCAGCCCUAGUGGACUAAUAGAGGAGGAUUCGUUUCCACAAGGAAGGCUGAAAUCUUGACCAGGGAGAAGCUGGUAGCUCCAGCCUGCAGCAACUAUCUUUCCUUCAUCUGGU
RNAcentral lists this long non-coding RNA (507 nucleotides) under Pan troglodytes (chimpanzee). RNAcentral describes it as "long non-coding RNA NONPTRT014094". Lineage: Eukaryota; Metazoa; Chordata; Mammalia; Primates; Hominidae. The record is from RNAcentral.